RNAcentral lists this ribosomal RNA (1090 nucleotides) under Glaucoma sp. Gnsp3. RNAcentral describes it as "SSU rRNA". It matches the Rfam family "Eukaryotic small subunit ribosomal RNA", at positions 195 to 1318 of the family's 1831-position model. Lineage: Eukaryota; Ciliophora; Oligohymenophorea; Hymenostomatida; Glaucomidae. The record is from RNAcentral.
ACCGGAACGUAUUUAUUAGAUAUUAAACCAAUUGCAGCAAUGUAAUUGAGAUGAUUCAAAGUAACUGAUCGAAUCGUAGCUUGCUACGAUAAAUCAUCUAAGUUUCUGCCCUAUCAGCUCUCGAUGGUAGUGUAUUGGACUACCAUGGCAGUCACGGGUAACGGAGAAUUAGGGUUCGAUUCCGGAGAAGGAGCCUGAGAAACGGCUACUACAACUACGGUUUGGCAGCAGGGAAGAAAAUUGGCCAAUCCUAAUUCAGGGAGCCAGUGACAAGAAAUAGCAGACCGGGAAACUUAGUUUCUACGGUACUGAAAUGAGAACAGUGUUAAUCUCUUAGCGAGAAACAAUUGGAGGGCAAGCCUGGUGCCAGCAGCCGCGGUAAUUCCAGCUCCAAUAGCGUAUAUUAAAGUUGUUGCAGUUAAAAAGCUCGUAGUUGAACUUCUGUCCAGGUUCGUCUUGGCUCGCCAGGACAAUUCUGGACAUACGUCUGCAAGCUAAAAUCGGCCUUCACUGGUACGACUUAGUAAGUAGACAUUUUACUGUGAAAAAAUUAGAGUGUUUCAGGCAGGUUUUAGCCCGUAUACAUUAGCAUGGAAUAAUGGAAUAGGACUAAGUCCAUUUUAUUGGUUCUUGGAUUUGGUAAUGAUUAAUAGGGACAGUUGGGGGCAUUAGUAUUUAAUAGUCAGAGGUGAAAUUCUUGGAUUUAUUAAGGACUAACUAAUGCGAAAGCAUUUGCCAAAGAUGUUUUCAUUAAUCAAGAACGAAAGUUAGGGGAUCAAAGACGAUUAGAUACCGUCGUAGUCUUAACUAUAAACUAUACCGACUCGGGAUCGGCUGGAAUACAUGUCCAGUCGGCACCGUAUGAGAAAUCAAAGUCUUUGGGUUCUGGGGGAAGUAUGGUACGCAAGUCUGAAACUUAAAGGAAUUGACGGAACAGCACACCAGAAGUGGAACCUGCGGCUUAAUUUGACUCAACACGGGGAAACUCACGAGCGCAAGACAGAGAAGGGAUUGACAGAUUGAGAGCUCUUUCUUGAUUCUUUGGGUGGUGGUGCAUGGCCGUUCUUAGUUGGUGGAGUGAUUUGUCUGG